GGUGUUGGGAUAUGUGGAGCUUUGACAAGAGUUGGAGAUUUGUUUUUGGUGGUGUUAUUGAGUUUGAGGUUGGGUGUUGUGUGGUUGCUGAGUAAUUUUGAGUGUAUGCAUGUUUGAGAUUAUUUUCUUUGAGGUGAGAUUUCGGUAGAGGUUGGAUUUAUUCUUUUUGAAGUUUGGUUUUUGUUUACAUGUGGAUGAGUUGUGUAAGUUGGUGAAGGUGUUUGUUUUGGGGAUGGUGUUGGUAACCUUGUGAGGUUGGUUUUUUGUUGACUUUGUGGCGGGUAUUAUUUCGGGGACGAAAUAUUCCAAGUGGGGGAGAGUUGUAACACCCGUCCCAGGAUAUUUAGGGUUUCGAUUUAAUUUUGAGGUUUGGGGUUUAAUUUGUAUUUGUUGGAUUCUAUGAGGGGCUUUGGUGUGAUUUACAUGGAGAAUUGUUAUUGGUUUGGAGUAUAAGUUGAGAGGAGAGGUGACCACAUGGGAUUUCUUCCUAAGUGACUAAAUAGUCAUCAGGAGGAUAUUUCCUCAUUCUGCCGACAGAGAGAGAGAGAGAGAGGGGGAGAGAAAGGGAGGAGGAGGUCUCGGCUAAGGGGAGGGAGGAAGGAGAGGUCCGUUUUCGACGAUCCAACUCGGUGACAAGUAACGAGCCGGUCUUUUAGGAGGUGCCGAAACCGUAAGUUUGGCAUACUCCAGUCGAAUGAAAGGUGAGUGUGUCUGAUAUGGUUCUUCUCAAUAAGAUAUUGCCAUGGUGGUAUGUAUGUAUCUUGCUAAUGGUGUUUUAGCUUUCAAUAUGAUUAUUGAUAUGUAAAUAAUGCAGUGGAGGUGAUUAUAUAUCAAUGAUAUCAUGCUAAUCGAGGUUUAGCUAUUGAUAUGGAUAUAUGUGGUGGAAAUUUGUAUACCAUGCUAUAUGUUGUUUUAGCUAAUGGUAUGCAUGCUUGUUGUAUGUUGAUUGUACCCGCGAAAGGAUUGUGGAGUGAGUCACACCAUAUCGUGGGCCGUGCCGUCUAAUUAACGGUGAAUGGGAGUGUGGUGUGCGGGACACAAUUCCUUGGGUACAUGGGAUGUGGCAGACGUGCCACUGUAUGUUGGUGUUUAUACAUGUGGUUAUACGAUUGAGUACUUAUGUUGAGUUUCGUGUGAUUUACAUUCAUGCCGUUAUUGUUAUGUGGUUGUUUAUUGAAUAAUAUUGCUAUGUUUGGCAGAUGUGAUGGUUAUAACUAAUGUACUCAUAUGGGUAUUGCAGUUAUGUUGGUGGUGAAUAUUCUUAUUGAUAUUCUUUUGGGUAUUGUGACAUUUUAUUGAGCAUUUCUAUAUCUCACACACUCUGGCUUUCCUUUUUGGACUGCCAGGUAGCAGGUGGCUUAGAGUGGGUCCACUACUGGUCAACGCUUUGGAGAGUGCUGAGACUAGUCUCGGGUGAUGUCGUUGGUUAGAUUGUUGUGUAGCUGAUUCGUCUAGAAGUUAACCUAAAUGUUUGUAAUUAAUUGGAGCGAGGGAUAUUUAUUAUAACUUGUGAGUUGAGGUUUUUGGGCGUUGAAUUGGUUGUAUUUUAAGUAAGAAGUCUUCCGCUAA
Long non-coding RNA from Rhododendron vialii, 1569 nucleotides. RefSeq lists it as uncharacterized. The transcript is spliced from 2 exons. The record is from RefSeq and is a predicted model, not a curated record. NCBI's taxonomy places the organism in Eukaryota, Viridiplantae, Streptophyta, Magnoliopsida, Ericales, Ericaceae.